AGGGGUAUAGCUCAGUUGGUAGAGUGCUUGUCUAACAUGCACAAGGACCUGGGUUCAAUCCCUAGCACCACCG
Non-coding RNA from Ictidomys tridecemlineatus (thirteen-lined ground squirrel), 73 nucleotides. The record is from Rfam. NCBI's taxonomy places the organism in Eukaryota, Metazoa, Chordata, Mammalia, Rodentia, Sciuridae.